CGGCUAUCUUUUUGUGAAGGUAGAAAGAGGCAAGCAAGUUGAGGAAUUCCCCAAAUACAGCCAUUUGAAAACCAACUAGCACAUCUUCUCAGAACAAUUUAACAAAAUGAUUGCACUAGAAAGAGCUGAAGCUCCCUCACAGCAAAUAACAGAUAAAAGCUCUCACAAAUCAAAAUCUUUUAGGGUCAUUCGAAUUCACAACUCACGGGGAAAAUUGUUGACUUGGCCUUCCUCUAAUACAUCCUUAUUAUUCACCUUAUAAGCUAUCCGUAUGCGCAUGACAAGGGAUUUCUUGCCGUGCUGGCUGUUUGUGAGUUUCAACUUUUGCAUGAUUGAUCCACUACUAUUUGCAGGUAGCAUAUUACCACUUGCUGGAUCCAAGUGCAAUUGAAGAAACUUUGGAACUGCAGCUUGGAAAAUAAAGUUUGUGAGAACUUCUCCCGACUUGUUUGUAAAACUAGCUUCAAUAAGUGUUGUCUGUGGGUUUUCAGGCUGCUUUGAGAAGUUGAAUGUUAAUUUUAACGAGCUGCUCUCAAAUGCAACUAUUGAUGGAUAUGCAAGACCAUUUCCUUCUGUAACAGCAAUUGGUGAGCUGGAAGGGAACCCAUUCAAUAAAUCCAACAUAGGAGAACUUCCAGCUGUAGUAGAAACUUGAACUGAAGGAGCAGAAGGUGAGGACAGUCUAUCUAAUAGAUCCAUCGGACUUUUAGUGUCAACAUUGGAGGGUGACGCCUGAAUUGUAGAUGGGCUGCUAUUAGCAGAUGGUGUUCCAAUUGACAGAAGAUCCAGUAAAACAUUGGUGCCACUCACUUGGGCCUGAUUUGUACCUGAUUGUGAAGAAACUGGCACCAGAUCAACACCAAGAAGAUCCUGAAGAAAGUCUCCACCAGAAGAGCUAGGUGCAGGAACAUCAUCUGAACUAAGAUCAAGUAAGUCAACAAGAGGGGCAGCACUGGGCUUGGCAACUCCAUUUGGAAGAUUAACUGACACUCCUUGAGAUGUUGACACAGCUGCUGGUACAGAACCAGCUUUCCUUCCACUGUGGGUUGCUUCAUCAAGAACUGGCAUUCUUUCUACGAGUGAAGGCCUGAUAUUCUGAUGCCUUGCAAUUAUUGAGUUAAAUUCAAUAGCUCUCUGUUGCAGUUCAAGCACAAAACUCCCUUUGUAUUGAACAAUGAUGUCAUUUAUCCGCUGUGAACAAGUUGGAAAGCGACUUGACAGCUUUAGCAAAGCAAUCAAACACAUCGCCCGAGUAGUGAGAUCAAAUGAAUGGCUCUUAAAGGAAGUCUCCAAAACAUCCACAGCAUCAGAUUCUGUUACGGUCAAGGGUUCUUCAAUAUCAAGCCUUCCAGCAUUGUUUACUAACAUGUCACCAUAUUCUCCAAUG
This 1387-nucleotide unclassified non-coding RNA is filed under the name Hevea brasiliensis (rubber tree). The record is from RNAcentral. Lineage: Eukaryota; Viridiplantae; Streptophyta; Magnoliopsida; Malpighiales; Euphorbiaceae.